UGGUCAAUGAUAAUCUAAAGAAGAGAACUUGUUGCAGAUUUAUACGCCAGGGUAUUCAGUUGUGGGAGGUUGACGAUUUGCAGAUCAGGAAUGGCCAUUACAAUGUUGUUCUCAACUAGCAUGGGUUCAUCUGUCAGAGUCUCGCAUUAGAUACUGGCCGAGAUUCCAGCAUUUUUGUCGCAAACAA
Molecule: long non-coding RNA, 187 nt
Organism: Hibiscus syriacus
Lineage: Eukaryota; Viridiplantae; Streptophyta; Magnoliopsida; Malvales; Malvaceae
Exons: 3
Source: RefSeq, a predicted model, not a curated record